AAGCCAGUAAAUAAAUCUGCUUACUUGACUGUGUUGGCAGAAAUUCAGAAAUAGCUGGCAAUACUAAAGCCAUGUUACGAGCCUUAACGGCAUUGAGGUUGUUAAGGUCCCUGAAAGUGGCUACAGAA
This is a small nucleolar RNA of Sorex fumeus (smoky shrew), 128 nucleotides long. RefSeq annotates it as small nucleolar RNA SNORA33. The transcript has a single exon. NCBI's taxonomy places the organism in Eukaryota, Metazoa, Chordata, Mammalia, Eulipotyphla, Soricidae. The record is from RefSeq and is a predicted model, not a curated record.